AUCCUUUUGUAGUUCAUGAGAGUGCUGAUUGGGUGUUCAUGAACACGUGUGAGAUGUGCCACUUUUAAACUUCGUUAGGAUGUUGACACAUUGCCUUCUGAUG
Molecule: small nucleolar RNA, 103 nt
Organism: Pongo abelii (Sumatran orangutan)
Lineage: Eukaryota; Metazoa; Chordata; Mammalia; Primates; Hominidae
Source: Ensembl